AUGCCGGAGGCGAAGUGUUCAGCGGCAGCGGAUUUGAAGGUGGCGGCAGUAGCAGAUCGGCGUGAGCAUCCUGCUCUCUCUCUCUCUCUCAUCCUGCUCUCUCUCAUCCUGCUCUCUCUCUCUCUCUCUCUCUCUCUCUCUCUCCGCAUUGGUAUUUGUUUUGUGGCGUGGGAUCUUCAACACGGCCAUGCGUACGAAUCUCAAUCGAUAGGCAGCAGCAUACGGCCAGCCGACGCCAUCACAGUAGCUCGGCUCUGUUACAAUGAGAGGAUGAGAAGGGAAGGAAUUAUGCAGUACGCACGCCGCCGUAUACUACCAGAAAAACUCAAAGAACAUGUCCAAUUAACCUUGGAUGCCGGAGUGUCCAUCAGGGGCGGGAAGUUUGCGAGGUGCUGA
RNAcentral lists this ribosomal RNA (396 nucleotides) under Triticum aestivum (bread wheat). Its description in RNAcentral is "partial small subunit ribosomal RNA". The record is from RNAcentral. Lineage: Eukaryota; Viridiplantae; Streptophyta; Magnoliopsida; Poales; Poaceae.